This 529-nucleotide long non-coding RNA is filed under the name Brassica napus (rape). RNAcentral's name for it is "long non-coding RNA (BNAP_LNC005054)". The record is from RNAcentral. Lineage: Eukaryota; Viridiplantae; Streptophyta; Magnoliopsida; Brassicales; Brassicaceae.
ACUGAUGCUAUUAGGUAAGCAAAACAGAACAACUAAAAAACGUAGAAACCGGCUAUUUAUAUUUUAUAUAUCAAACGUUAAUAGUUUCUUUUGAUUACUAAAUUUACGGCUCUAUAAUUUUGGUUUGAUAGAGUACCAUUAUUUUAUCAAGUUGGCCAAAGAAACUAAAUUUUAGCUAAAUUAUUGCGUAGGAAAAGGUUAAAAAGAUUGUUUUGAUCAAAUUGCAACAGAAUUAUACAAAAUUAAAUUCCUAAACAUGGUUUUUGAAUGAAAUUUAUUUUUAACUGGUUAUUUUUAAACUAAACCAGACUAUUUUAUAAUAAAGAAUGAAUUGAAUAAAAAAUACCAAAAUGACAAAUAUGUUGUCGGUCUUCAACUCAAUUCAUGAGAACACAUUACAAACCAAAUAAAAUCAAAUACCAAAGAUUUUUUUAAGAGAACCACAAUCUAAAGUUUGCUUUAAAUCAUAUAAACUGGGCCAUCAAUCUGUAAAUUGAAAAACAAUACUUUAUCUCAAAGACCUGACUCU